This 374-nucleotide transfer-messenger RNA is filed under the name Bacteroidales bacterium. RNAcentral's name for it is "partial transfer-messenger RNA". It matches the Rfam family "transfer-messenger RNA". From Rfam's summary of the family: Bacterial tmRNA, also known as 10Sa RNA or SsrA, is named for its dual tRNA and mRNA-like properties. Its role is to liberate the mRNA from a stalled ribosome. Lineage: Bacteria; Pseudomonadati; Bacteroidota; Bacteroidia; Bacteroidales. The record is from RNAcentral.
GGGGCUGAUCUGGUUUUGACAGCGAGUUUAACAGGUAUGUAAGCAUGUCGGGCGACGCAUUUGAUCCCGUAAUAAUAGUAGUGCAACAUUUUUAAUUGGCGAAAAUAAUUUUGCUCUUGCUGCUUAAUCGAAUCAUAGUAGAUUAAAGCUUAAUUCCGACGGUAGCCGUCGGAACAAGACAUUCCGCUGUCAGGUUUUACCCGAUCCCUGUCAGCAAUGGAGUGCUAGCAAUUUUGGGUUAGUUCCGAUGUGGCUUCGCCUUCGGGAUGAAAUUUAGAAGCUAAGUUUUGGUUCGGGUGUUUGUUCCCAGGCCAUUAUCGAAAACCAACAACAAAAUAAGCAUGUAGAAAGCAUAUGGGUUGCUUGUUUGGACC